RNAcentral lists this long non-coding RNA (316 nucleotides) under Manihot esculenta (cassava). Its description in RNAcentral is "long non-coding RNA (MESC_LNC012771)". The record is from RNAcentral. Lineage: Eukaryota; Viridiplantae; Streptophyta; Magnoliopsida; Malpighiales; Euphorbiaceae.
AAGCUCAAAACUUAAGAAAAAUGGUGGGGAUUUGGAGGAAGAACAAAAGAUUUGGGAGAGGGAGGUUGGAAGCUAGCUGUGGCUGAAAAUGGGAGAAAACUCACCCAUUUCGGCUAAGUCCCCUUUUUUAUAGGUGGCUGGCCAGGCCACGUUCGGGGGCCGAAUGUGCCUCCGAAUCCAUGCAAUGUUCGGCGGCCGAACUUGACUUUCGGCAGCCGAACCUGGACUUCCCUCACUCAUGCUUUCGGGGGCCUAAAGCACUCCCGAAGCGCAUGCAAGUUCGGCGGCCGAACCUGACUUUCGGCGACCGAACCUG